AACGAACGCUGGCGGCAUGCCUAACACAUGCAAGUCGAACGAGACCUUCGGGUCUAGUGGCGCACGGGUGCGUAACGCGUGGGAACCUGCCCUUAGGUUCGGAAUAACUCCCCGAAAGGGGUGCUAAUACCGGAUAAUGUCUUCGGACCAAAGAUUUAUCGCCUUUGGAUGGGCCCGCGUUGGAUUAGCUAGUUGGUAGGGUAAAAGCCUACCAAGGCGACGAUCCAUAGCUGGUCUGAGAGGAUGAUCAGCCACACUGGGACUGAGACACGGCCCAGACUCCUACGGGAGGCAGCAGUGGGGAAUAUUGGACAAUGGGCGAAAGCCUGAUCCAGCAAUGCCGCGUGAGUGAUGAAGGCCUUAGGGUUUUAAAGCUCUUUUACCCGGGAUGAUAAUGACAGUACCGGGAGAAUAAGCUCCGGCUAACUCCGUG
RNAcentral lists this ribosomal RNA (433 nucleotides) under uncultured bacterium. RNAcentral describes it as "partial 16S ribosomal RNA". It matches the Rfam family "Bacterial small subunit ribosomal RNA", at positions 29 to 507 of the family's 1533-position model. The record is from RNAcentral.